CUAGCCGUAAACGAUGGGUACUAGGUGUAGAGGGUAUCGACCCCUUCUGUGCCGGAGUUAACGCAAUAAGUACCCCGCCUGGGGANACGCGAAGAACCUUACCAGGACUUGACAUUGAUUGAAAAGCUAAGAGAUUAGCUCCUGAUCUUCGGAUCACAAGAAAACAGGUGG
This 171-nucleotide ribosomal RNA is filed under the name uncultured bacterium. RNAcentral's name for it is "partial 16S ribosomal RNA". The stretch from base 1 to 79 matches the Rfam family "Bacterial small subunit ribosomal RNA", at positions 796 to 873 of the family's 1533-position model. The record is from RNAcentral.